GGAUCUGGCUGUCACCCCAUUGAUUGCCAGGGGCUGGGUUGAAGAGGACGACCGAAUAGAGGAGGGCCUGUCUUCGGCCAAGGGUAUAUGAGUAGCUGCGCUCCCCUGCUAGAACUUCCAAACAAGUUCUCAAGAGGAUCCUGUUAAGUGUUUGCUCUGUAUAAAGUGUAGAAGACAAUUGUUGUGCCUGCUUUGUAGGCUUGUGAUAUUAU
Cricetulus griseus (Chinese hamster) is the source of this 212-nucleotide non-coding RNA. The record is from Rfam. Lineage: Eukaryota; Metazoa; Chordata; Mammalia; Rodentia; Cricetidae.